This 468-nucleotide ribosomal RNA is filed under the name uncultured bacterium. RNAcentral's name for it is "partial 16S ribosomal RNA". It matches the Rfam family "Bacterial small subunit ribosomal RNA", at positions 28 to 507 of the family's 1533-position model. The record is from RNAcentral.
GACGAACGCUGGCGGCGUGCUUAACACAUGCAAGUCGAACGGAAAGGCCCUGCUUUUGUGGGGUGCUCGAGUGGCGAACGGGUGAGUAACACGUGAGUAACCUGCCCUUGACUUUGGGAUAACUUCAGGAAACUGGGGCUAAUACCGGAUAUGAGCUCCUGCUGCAUGGUGUGGGUUGGAAAGUUUCGGCGGUUGGGGAUGGACUCGCAGCUUAUCAGCUUGUUGGUGGGGUAGUGGCUUACCAAGGCUUUGACGGGUAGCCGGCCUGAGAGGGUGAACGGCGACAUGGGGACUGAGGUACGGACCAGAAUCGUACGGGAGGCAGCAGGGGGGAAUAUUGCACAAUGGGCGGAAGUCUGAUGCAGCAACGCCGCGUGCGGGAUGACGGCCUUCGGGUUGUAAACCGCUGUCGCAUGUGACGAAGCGUGAGUGACGGUAAUGGGUAAAGAAGCACCGGCUAACUACGUG